UUGCAUGCCCUUUAGGGGCUGGGAACUAUACAUAACAUGCUACAUUAAAAUAGUUGUCAGGGCUUCAAAUAUUAUGGAAUAGGUUGAGUGAUAGCAUAUUUCUUCUACACAA
RNAcentral lists this small nucleolar RNA (112 nucleotides) under Dasypus novemcinctus (nine-banded armadillo). Its description in RNAcentral is "Small nucleolar RNA U109 (ENSDNOG00000030491.2)". It matches the Rfam family "Small nucleolar RNA U109", at positions 22 to 134 of the family's 134-position model. Lineage: Eukaryota; Metazoa; Chordata; Mammalia; Cingulata; Dasypodidae. The record is from RNAcentral.